Molecule: ribosomal RNA, 225 nt
Filed under: uncultured Rhodobacter sp.
Lineage: Bacteria; Pseudomonadati; Pseudomonadota; Alphaproteobacteria; Rhodobacterales
Description: partial 16S ribosomal RNA
Rfam family: Bacterial small subunit ribosomal RNA
Source: RNAcentral
CACGUAGGCGGACUGGAAAGUCAGAGGUGAAAUCCCAGGGCUCAACCUUGGAACUGCCUUUGAAACUCCCGGUCUUGAGGUCGAGAGAGGUGAGUGGAAUUCCGAGUGUAGAGGUGAAAUUCGUAGAUAUUCGGAGGAACACCAGUGGCGAAGGCGGCUCACUGGCUCGAUACUGACGCUGAGGUGCGAAAGCGUGGGGAGCAAACAGGAUUAGAUACCCUUGUA